Molecule: transfer RNA, 73 nt
Filed under: Streptomyces sp. TSRI0281
Lineage: Bacteria; Bacillati; Actinomycetota; Actinomycetes; Kitasatosporales; Streptomycetaceae
Also listed under: 11 other names
Rfam family: tRNA
About the family: Transfer RNA (tRNA) molecules are approximately 80 nucleotides in length. Their secondary structure includes four short double-helical elements and three loops (D, anti-codon, and T loops).
Source: Rfam by way of RNAcentral
GGUCCCGUAGCGCAGAGGCAGACGCGUCCGUAUGACAUGCGGAGGGACGCCGGUUCGAAUCCGGUCGGGACCA